AACAGCUCAAAUUUGAAAUCUGCCGCAAGGCCGAGUUGUAAUUUGUAGAAGAUGCUUUGGGUAUGGCCCCGGUCUAAGUUCGUUGGAACACGACGUCAUAGAGGGUGAGAAUCCCGUAUGUGACUGGGUGCUUUUGCCUAUGUAAAGCUCUUUCGACGAGUCGAGUUGUUUGGGAAUGCAGCUCAAAAUGGGUGGUAUAUUUCAUCUAAAGCUAAAUAUUGGCCAGAGACCGAUAGCGCACAAGUAGAGUGAUCGAAAGAUGAAAAGCACUUUGGAAAGAGAGUUAAACAGUACGUGAAAUUGUUGAAAGGGAAGCGCUUGCAACCAGACUUGCACGUUGUUGAUCAUCCAGGCUUCUGUUUGGUGCACUCAACUGCGUUCAGGCCAGCAUCGGUUUUGGUGGUGGGAUAAAGGCCUUGGGAAUGUAGCUUCUUUCGGGGAGUGUUAUAGCCCUCGGUGCAAUGCCGCCUACUGGGACCGAGGACCGCGCUUCGGCUAGGAUGCUGGCGUAAUGGUUGUAAGCGACCCGUCUUGAAACACGGACCAAGGAGUCUAACAUCUAUGCGAGUGUUUGGGUGUCAAACCCAUACGCGUAAUUAACGUGAACGGAGGUGAGAACCCUUAAGGGUGCAUCAUCGACCGAUCCUGAUGUCUUCGGAUGGAUUUGAGUAAGAGCAUAGCUGUUGGGACCCGAAAGAUGGUGAACUAUGCCUGAAUAGGGUGAAGCCAGAGGAAACUCUGGUGGAGGCUCGCAGCGGUUCUGACGUGCAAAUCGAUCGUCAAAUUUGGGUAUAGGGGCGAAAGACUAAUCGAACCAUCUA
This 821-nucleotide ribosomal RNA is filed under the name Tricladium patulum. RNAcentral's name for it is "eukaryotic LSU rRNA". It matches the Rfam family "Eukaryotic large subunit ribosomal RNA", at positions 103 to 946 of the family's 3401-position model. Lineage: Eukaryota; Fungi; Ascomycota; Leotiomycetes; Helotiales; Tricladiaceae. The record is from RNAcentral.